CCCUCUUCUAUGCUCUCUCUUCCAUUGCAAUGAUGUAGCAAGUAAGCUAAGCAUGGGGGUUCUGAAUUGGCUAAUCAGCCAUGGGCACUCUCUCUGCUCUCCAAUUUAUUCUCCACAUUGGUAUUCAUACUAUCCUCCGGUGGUAGUGGUAUCCAUAUCCUCCAAAUUGGCAUCCAUAAAGCACAAGGUUGGUCAUGUCACUCUUCUCCUCAAAAAACUUUGGUAGAACCCUAUUACCACUAGAACCAAAUAUAAACAUUUCUGUUUGGCACUUCAAACUAUUCACUGUCUUACUCUAGCCUACCUCUCCUGAUAAAUUUUAUAAUAUUUCUCCUCCAUGUACUUUAUGUUCCAUCCAUACUGAUGCAUUUGCUAUUCCUCAUGUACAGUAUUACAUUUUCUGCCUUUAUGCCUUUGCAUAGGCUUUCCCCUCUGCUUGGAAUAUAUUACUUCUUUUCUUCUUUUACUUAGAAUCUUUGGCUACUUUCAAGGCUUAAUUCAAGUACUACUUUCUACACAAGACCUUUUCUGAUUAUUCCAGUUAUUAGAGAUCUCUGAAAUGACUUUGUAUGUAUUUAUUUUUCUGUGAACAUGUCACCCACCCCCUAAUUGAAGAUAUACUCCUUGAAGGUAAGCACUAUCUCAUUUUUCAUUUGUAUCAUCAUUGCCUAGUGAUGCCAUAUAUGCAUAAUGCCAUGCUCAUAGAAGGUGAGACACAGAUAUUAUUAUUCCCAUUUUUUAGGUGAGAAUUUUGAGACAAAGGUAUGUAAAAUGGUUUUCCCAGGGUUAUGCAACCAGUAAAUGUCUGAAACUGCAUUUGGACUUGCAUGUUUCUGAUUCCAGGGCUGGGUCUAUGCCACUUGCUAUGGGUUAUGGAAAACUUUUUGAUAUUGAAAAUGGGUCCUCAUGAUCCAAAGGCUUGGAAAUGACCUUUUUUUUCAGAGGAUCCCAGAUCUAGACUAGUAAGGGCUCUUGGAGACUAUCUAGUUCAGUCCCAUCAUUUUACAGAGGAAGAAAACAAGACCCAUAAAAAGGAAAGACAUUGUUCAAUGUCACACAGGUAGCACAGUAGAAUUUUAACCUGGGUUUUCCAUUAGAUCCAUACUUUUUCUACUACAUUAUUGGAACUUCCUCUUUGCUCAACAUUUUGUUCCAGCCAUCUUUUAUUUGAAAAAAAAAACUUACUGGAAGAGGAAUGUAUCUGAAUGACUGGAGCAGGCUCUGCUUACUUCUCUUUCAAAUGCCUAACUAACAUGUUAUUUUUUCAAUUCACUUUAUUGCAGAGUGCAUCAAGUUAGCUGUCCAUGGUUCUGAUCCUUGCAGGUGCCCUCGGCUCAGGAACUGUAACAACACUUCCACUGCUUCUGGAAAGGGCACGCUAAACAGAUGCCCAAUGUCCACCAUUACUAUGACUCCUUGGAUUGAAGUUCCUUUCACUUGGCACCACUCCCCAUAUUCCCCCAUUAGAAGGUGCUGGCAGCAAGUGGAGGUCCCUGAAUGAGGAUCCCUCAGCUUCUCCUGAAACUUUAAUGUUCACCUGAUGAGCCUGACAUUUUCCAAAGCUGUACCUGCCCAUUUAAUUACUAUCCACUACCUCAUUUAAAGUAAAAGGGCUCAUCUGUUAGGAGAAUGAAUGUGAAGAGCAAAGAAGCUUGUGUUGAUGAGGCACAAGGAGUCUAAAAUGUUUUGUGAAGUCAAGAAACUCAGGGAAGUUCAGAAAUAGGGAACCAUUCUUUAUGGCUGGAAUUUCAUUCAACAAACACCAGGCACCUAUGGAGAACUGUGCCAAGCAUUCUAAAAGUCACUGGUCUAGGUCUGAAAGGAUUCUGCCAGGUUCCUUUGUACUCUGUGCUGUUGGGCUUACAUUUGGUUAGGGGCUACCAUGAGGGAGUCUUUUAAAUGUUAUUUUCUAGUUAUACAUGUUUGCAAUGCCAUAAAACUGAUUGAGAUUUCAUGGCACAGGGAUAUUUCAUUUGUGAUCAGUCAUGUAGCAUAUGUGAUUUUUCCAAAGAGUCAAAGCUCCCAGGGAUAGUCAUCUGCUGGGUUGAAACUUGUGAAAAGCCUGGAGCACACAAGUGCCCUGAUUUGUUUGUGCCAUUUGCUGGUGGACCUUUACAAAUGGAUUGUCUUGGUGCACUUAUGCACCAUUGUAUUGUAUAUGCCUCCAGGAAAAUGGAUGGAGGUUUUUGACCUCAAAGAUGCUUUUCUAAUACUUGGAUUAUAGAAAAUGAACAUAAUAUCUUGUUAGAAGUCCAUCUAUCAGAUUUUUGUUUAGAGAUUCUAGGAUCACAGAAUUUGAACAAGAGAAGACCUCAGAGGCAAUUAGUUCACCUUCCUCCCUCCUGUUCCUCCCUGGAGAAUCUGUCCGUCAGAUUUGUUGUUGUUCAGUUGUUUUGGUUGUAUCUGAAAUAUUUCAGUUUGUGACCCCAUUUAGGAUUUUCUUCAGAAAGAUACUGGCUUGCCAUUUCCUUCUCCAUUUGACAGAUGAGGAAAUAGGGUUAAGGAAACAGAGACAAACAGGGUUAAGUGACUUGAACAAGGUCACACGGCUAGGAAGUUCUUGAGGCUGGGUUUGAACAAGCAUGGUGAGUCUUCCUGAUUCCAAGUCCAGUGCUCUACCCACUUCAUCACCUAGCUGUUCUCAAAUAGAAGAAGUCAUUGUCCAAGAUCACACAGAUAUCUAACUGGAACUGGAAGUUACCUUAGACUCAAUCUAGCCCAACCUCAUUUUAUGGUUGAAUGAAGUUAGAUUGUACAGUGAAGAGUGGUAGACCAUAAGUUUAAAUCUGAACUCAGGCAUUUACUAGUUGUGUGAUCCUGAACAAUUCACUUAAUUUCUGUCUGCCUCAGUUUCUUCCUCCAAGAAUGGGAUAACAAUAGCAUCCACACUCCCAAGUUAUUUGAACAAAUGAGAUAAUGUUCAAAAAGUUCUUUGUAAACUUUAAAGCAAUAAAUGCUAGCUGUUAUUACUAACAAACAGGUGGACUAGAAGCCAUUCAUUCUGUAUCUUCUUUUGAGAUUCUUAUUCAUGCCCUUCCAUAGAUAUAUUGUAAAGGACUCACAAAAGUGCCGGAGGUCUCUCUAGAUCUUUUGAUAUUUUGUGGGUAUCAGUUCUUCAGUUCUAUCUUGUUCACUUUUUUUUCUUCUUAUGUGACCUGCCUAAUUCCUUCCCCAAACAUACAUUUCCCAGAUGAUCAUUAUCAUGGUGCUUGUGGGACAGUCAUUUCACAGUAAAUAGGCUCCAGCCUGUCUAUGCCCUCUUCAUAUUUCUCUUUUGCCACUUGGAUCAACCAUCAUUUUGAUUCCUUGAAAUUUAUGAUAUUCUAUGACUUAUGGCCACAUAGUUUUUCUGUGAGAGUACUGUUUUUUGAAAAGAUUGAAUUGGAUAUAGUUAGGGAUUGUUGUAAGACCUUUACCAACUACUCUAGUUCAAUGUAGUUCACCCUGUUCCUCUUAGGCCAAUUUUAGACCCAGAUCAUUGCCUUCCAACUUUCUCUCCUUUUCUCUUUCCCCAGUGUAUUAUUCUUUCUCAUCCCUUGAUUUUUUUGAGUAUUAUUCUAUCCUAUUCAACUUACUACCCUGCUGUCUAUAUUUGCUCCUAUUCAUUGCCCUAAUAGUGAUAAAGUUCUUAAGUAUCUUCAGUACCUUAAGUAUCUUAGGUACUUCAAGUAUCAGAGAUAUCCUAAGCAUCUUAGUUAUCACUUUCUUGCUAGUAAUCCCAUUAUUUCCCUUGAUUAUUUUAAGUAUAUUAAGUACUUUAGGUAUCUCUUGUACUGUAGUAUCAUAGCUGCCACUUUCCCAAGUAGAGAGGUGAUCACUCUAACCCCACCGAUUCUCUUGAUUUUUUUUUCUGCUUACCUUUUUAUGCUUCUUUUGAGUAUUGAAUUUGAUCACUGAAUGUUCUUUUUAGCUCUGGUCAUUUCAUCAGAAAUGUCUGAAAUUCCUUUAGUCCAUCAAAUACCCAUUUUCCCCCCUUGGAGUAUUAUAUUCUGCUUUGCUGGGCAGGUGAUUUUUAGUUGCAGGUCCCAUUUCAUUGUCUCUGUUCAGCACCUAUCUAGAAACAUGCACUGAAGAACUAGUUCAAUGGGAUUGCCAUCUAGUUGCACACUGGAUUUGGUGCAUGCUUGACUGACCUUGACAAUAAUAUAAAUAACAAUGGGUGCCUCAUUAUUUUCUGGCUAUGGGGAGUGGGUGGAUGGAUACAAUAGCUCUCUUCUUUCUCACUCAGCUCUAGCCAGAGCAAAAGAGAUUCAGAGAUGGGGAAGUGACUGGCACAUGAAAGACACCCAAUAAAUACCAAUUGGAUCAAACUGAGGAAAAUAGAUUUGUAAAGGGAAGAGAGUCAUUGAAAGCACAUUGAAAAGAGGAAGUUCAUGAAGAGAUAUGAUUGUCCUAGGGAAUAACCCUUUUGUGAAGAUAUGAUCGAGCAGAUUCCCCUCUAGGUGCUCCAGCCUUUGAAGACCUGGGAAGGAAAGUUCUUAUCAUCAGCAAUCUUGACAAUGUCCAAUAGUUUGACAUCAGAAGCAGAUAUGGUUUUCUUAGUUGAAAUGAUGCUAAAGAAGAUUGUAUUUCCAAAGAAUUUGCUGCUGCAUUCUAAAUGCUAUAGAAUCUUUCCAUUUGACUUGCAAUUGAUACUUCAUUGUGUUGCCUUUCCUUAUUAGAAUGUGGGUUUUUUGAGAGAAGGUACAAUCUUGGAUUAGAUUGUAAACUCCUUGAGGGGAGGGUCUUUUGCCUCUUUUUGUAUCCUGGGCACUUAGCACAGUGCCUGUCAUAUAGCAAUAAAUGAUUGAUUGAUUGAUUAAUUUUCUAUUUGUAAUCCAAGAACUUAGCACAGUGUAUACUGAGCACAGAAUAAAAGUUUUUUCAUUCAUUC
This is a non-coding RNA of Monodelphis domestica (gray short-tailed opossum), 4873 nucleotides long. The record is from RefSeq and is a predicted model, not a curated record. Lineage: Eukaryota; Metazoa; Chordata; Mammalia; Didelphimorphia; Didelphidae.